UAAUUUUUCUUGAAUCGCAUGGCGUUAUACUCUGUGUUCGGUCAUUAUACGCGACAGUUUACAACACAAAUAGUAGCAAAGCUUAAUACAAAUUGGUGAAUCAGUAUAAUUUGGUACACUUUAACGUAAUGGGCCGAAGAAAAAGUAAACGGAAGCCACCAAGUAAAAAGAAAGCUAUUCAACCGCUAGAUACACAAUUUAAUUGUCCGUUUUGCAAUCAUGAAAAAUCAUGCGAGGGAUAAGUCGAGGAACACAGCUAGAAUUACUUGCAGAGUCUGCUUAGAAGACUUUCAAACCACGAUCAAUUUACUUUCAGAACCUUUAGAUGUGUAUAAUGAUUGGAUUGAUGCAUGUGAAAGUGCAAACUAAAUUUUAUUAUCUUUGUAUCAGGUCAAUGCUAAUAGUAUUAUUUAUUUCUUCUAAAUGUAAAUUGUCAGCACUUUAGUAUAAAUGGAUAUCACAUCAUGUGCAAUGCAUAAGCAACAACUUAGUGCUAUACAUAUAUUCUAUGAAUCAAUGAAAAGACAUUUAGUUUCAUAAAUUUAAUAUUUCAUUAGUUUAAAGUAACAAAAUUUGAUAUACAUAUCCCAUAUGUAGUGUAUUCAAUAUUAUAUUGUAUUAUUUUUAAUCAUACAUGAUAUUUGUAUAAUCAUAUUUAUAUAUAUGAGCUUGUCGUACUUACUAAGUAAGGAUAUGAAUGUUUACAUUAAAAAUAACAAAAAUAUUAUAUGACUGCUAUAACCUACGGAUAUUUAUAUGAAAAGAAGACAUAAUAUUUUUACUGUAUGUUCAUAUUAUAAAAAUUAAGAAGUUGUAAGAUAAUGACAAUAUGAAUAAAAUAGUCUUUGCUAUAAC
RNAcentral lists this unclassified non-coding RNA (855 nucleotides) under Bombus terrestris (buff-tailed bumblebee). RNAcentral's name for it is "misc RNA ENSBTSG00005021336.1". Lineage: Eukaryota; Metazoa; Arthropoda; Insecta; Hymenoptera; Apidae. The record is from RNAcentral.